CUGUGGCCCAGCUCCAGCUCGUGAAAUGAAGGACGACCCGUAUCCUCCCCGUAGCAAAAAAAGCUUCGCUCCAUUAUCCUCCCCCUUCACCCGUUGCGAUAGGGUUUCGCGACGCGGCUGCGUCCGGCGUCGCCGUGAGGAUGGCGCGGCUGCAUCGGGCGGCACGGGAAGGGAUGGCGCGACAGCGACGAGGAGGUAGCACAGCUACCUUGGGCGGCACGGGGAGGGACGGCGCGGGUGCUAGGAGGCAGGGCGGUGAGAUUGUUGGGUUCGCGAGCUCGCGGACGAUGACGUCCUCCACAACAUCCCGGCCUGAGGCGGCCACGAGUGCUCGCGAGCUCGCCGACAACGAGGUUCUCCACUACACCAUCCCAUCAGUACCAAUGUACCACCACCGCGCCUCCGUUAUCAAUCGCCACCACCGCCCUUCGCCGAGGUUACCGUGCCUUUACUGCUAUGACUACUAAGGCUCCUCAUUCCCCUGGCUCAUGCGCAGAUUAGUGAUAAAGAUGCCAUGACCUCAAUUGGUGAUGAUGGCGUGGUAGACAUUGAUUCCUCUAUUUCAUUAGAAACAACAUGUUAUGCAAUGAAAGAACUUGUUUCCAUGGGACUGGUGCGCAGCAUUGGAAUCAGCUAACAGAAAUGCUAACAGAUGAAGGAAACUCACGCACUCAUAGCUGCGCAUCAGUCAUUAAGCAAUACAAUUUGCAGAGCUUGGCUGAGAAGCACGGCAAGAUGUUGGCGCAGCUUGUCCUUCGGUGGGGUUUGUAGCAUAAUAUGGUGGUAAUCCCCAUGACCUCCAAGGCACAGUAAUACAUUAGCACACCACUUAACCUUCACUCAUUCGGACAUGUUUAGUUUCAAGUGGGAGCAAUUGCCAAAUGAGGACAGGAGCUUGCAUAUGUAUGUAAUUGUGAUGUGAACAUGUCUGGCUUUUAAUCUCUCUUAAAGGGAGCAUUGUAAUCUGGUUAGAAAUAUAACUAUAGGCUUGUUUGGCACAGCUCAACUUCACUAGUAAAGCUGUUUUUUUUUAGAAAAUAGCUUCAUGAGUGACUUUUUAGAUAAAGCUGAGCUAUUUUGUAAAAAGUGUUUGGCAAAAUAGCUUCACGAACUACUUCAUACAUAGCUGAGAGAGAGAAAUGAGAGAGAGGGAGCUGCAAUAAGCUACUUUUUCCAGCUUCAUCCCAACUUAUGUCUUUGUGAGAGGAGGGGGAAAAAUAACUUCACCUAUGAAGCUGUUUUGGAAAUAAAUGUUUGGCAAAUAAAACAGCUCACAACAGCUUCAAACAGGCCCUGUAUGUCUGCAAGAUUAAAAUAUUUGGAGUAUAUAGUGUUAAGUGUGC
Long non-coding RNA from Sorghum bicolor (sorghum), 1343 nucleotides. RefSeq lists it as uncharacterized. The transcript is spliced from 4 exons. The record is from RefSeq and is a predicted model, not a curated record. NCBI's taxonomy places the organism in Eukaryota, Viridiplantae, Streptophyta, Magnoliopsida, Poales, Poaceae.